CCUACGGGAGGCAGCAGUCGAGAAUCAUUCACAAUGGGGGAAACCCUGAUGGUGCGACGCCGCGUGGGGGAAUGAAGGUCUUCGGAUUGUAAACCCCUGUCAUGUGGGAGCAAAUUAAAAAGAUAGUACCACACGAGGAAGAGACGGCUAACUCUGUGCCAGCAGCCGCGGUAAUACAGAGGUCUCAAGCGUUGUUCGGAAUCACUGGGCGUAAAGCGUGCGUAGGCGGUUUCGUAAGUCGUGUGUGAAAGGCGCGGGCUCAACCCGCGGACGGCACAUGAUACUGCGAGACUAGAGUAAUGGAGGGGGAACCGGAAUUCUCGGUGUAGCAGUGAAAUGCGUAGAUAUCGAGAGGAACACUCGGGGCGAAGGCGGGUUCCUGGACAUUAACUGACGCUGAGGCACGAAGGCCAGGGGAGCGAAAGGGAUUAGAUACCCCGGUAGUC
Molecule: ribosomal RNA, 446 nt
Filed under: uncultured bacterium
Lineage: Bacteria
Description: partial 16S ribosomal RNA
Rfam family: Bacterial small subunit ribosomal RNA
Source: RNAcentral